RNAcentral lists this long non-coding RNA (271 nucleotides) under Capsicum annuum. RNAcentral describes it as "long non-coding RNA (CANN_LNC005684)". The record is from RNAcentral. Lineage: Eukaryota; Viridiplantae; Streptophyta; Magnoliopsida; Solanales; Solanaceae.
CCCUAAGAUGACAUAGGUGAAAUUACUAAUAAAGACCCUAAUACCAAAAACAACUUGACUUCGACUUAAAGAAGACACCACCCUACCAUGACAGACUCAUAAAAGACUCAAACUGAAUAAAGAUAAGAAAUGCUCUUUCAGACUGGUGCUCUGCGUGAUGACCCUGGCUGAGAUGGACCUGCCUGUGAAGUUCUCUUUCUCCCAUUUAAACUUUGUAGCAUAUCCUGUAAAGACACCCUGAUAUUGGGGAAGAAGCUUCGGGCCCGUAUUC